GGGGAAAUAGCUAAGUUGUUUAGAAUCAUGGUCUGUCACACCAGACGUCGCGGGUUCGAACCCCGUUUUUCCUG
RNAcentral lists this transfer RNA (74 nucleotides) under Amborella trichopoda. It matches the Rfam family "tRNA". From Rfam's summary of the family: Transfer RNA (tRNA) molecules are approximately 80 nucleotides in length. Their secondary structure includes four short double-helical elements and three loops (D, anti-codon, and T loops). Lineage: Eukaryota; Viridiplantae; Streptophyta; Magnoliopsida; Amborellales; Amborellaceae. The record is from Rfam by way of RNAcentral.